AUGCUUGUUCCAGCAGCACAUACACUAAGACUGGAACUAUAUUGAGAAGAUUAGCAUGGCCCCUGUGCAAGGAUGACACACAAAUUCCUGAAGCAUUCCAUAUUUUU
Molecule: small nuclear RNA, 107 nt
Organism: Hippopotamus amphibius kiboko
Lineage: Eukaryota; Metazoa; Chordata; Mammalia; Artiodactyla; Hippopotamidae
Source: RefSeq, a predicted model, not a curated record